RNAcentral lists this ribosomal RNA (396 nucleotides) under uncultured bacterium. RNAcentral describes it as "partial 16S ribosomal RNA". It matches the Rfam family "Bacterial small subunit ribosomal RNA", at positions 523 to 918 of the family's 1533-position model. The record is from RNAcentral.
AUACGGAGGGUGCAAGCGUUAAUCGGAAUUACUGGGCGUAAAGCGCACGCAGGCGGUUUGUUAAGUCAGAUGUGAAAUCCCCGGGCUCAACCUGGGAACUGCAUCUGAUACUGGCAAGCUUGAGUCUCGUAGAGGGGGGUAGAAUUCCAGGUGUAGCGGUGAAAUGCGUAGAGAUCUGGAGGAAUACCGGUGGCGAAGGCGGCCCCCUGGACGAAGGCUGACCCUCAGGUGCGAAAGCGUGGGGAGCAAACAGGAUUUGAUACCCUGGUAGUCCACGCCGUAAACGAUGUCGACUUGGAGGUUGUGCCCUUGAGGCGUGGCUUCCGGAGCUAACGCGUUAAGUCGACCGCCUGGGGAGUACGGCCGCAAGGUUAAAACUCAAAUGAAUUGACGGGG